AAACCUAAUCUUGUAAGCCUUAUUAAAAUCUGAUUCCUCCAGUAGUGAAUCCUUGUGGAUCUGUCAUGAUACUAGGAUACUCUAGCAGCUAGAGUUUCUUUCCCCUCUCUGUCCCCGUUCCAAAAAGGACAUAACUCUCACCUGCUUCCUCUCUUCCUCAGUCCAACCCGGAAGUCCCGCCUACUCACCCAGUGAUUGGCUCCUUUAUUCAUUAAGGGAUUGGUUCACAAGAAGCCACCGAGUACUGACUCAUUCCUCAUUCCGGACAACCUCUCCUGGGAGAGCAAGCAGCACGGAGCCAUCCACAACAGUUGGGCCAUACCAUUCUUCAUCCUUUCUAUUAAUCUCUGGUCUGGCAAAUAAUUUUUUAACAUUUGUUUUAUUUAUUUACUUUUUUUUUUUUUAAUUUCACACAUGAAUACUGUAUUUACAGCAUGUCUACUUGCCAGAUCUAUCAUGAUUAAUGUAUUCGUAGACUUAGCUUCUGGUUUCACACUGGGUUCAGCCAAUGGGAAAAGAGGUAGGAAAUGUAAAGGAGGAAGAAGGAGAGUAGGAGAAGAACAACAUUUUCUCCAACCACAGCUUUGGCUUCACAGAUGACAUUAUGAGCAGCAUAAUAUUUAAACCUGAUAACUAAAACUUCUGUAUCUGUAUUUUAGCAGUCAUGUUCUUGGCAAACCUUAGUAUAGUCUUUUGGCUGAAACAGAUGUCAGAAGCACAGCAGCAGCAGCAGCAGCAGCAGCAACCACAGCAGCAACAACAACCACCUGCAAAGUUUUCCUGAUGCUGACUGCAGCUUAGGCCCAUUAACAAAGCCCAAGCUCCACUGCUAAGGAAACCCAGAGUGAUGGCUACUCUUGAUUGUCAACUUGACUACAUCUGGAAUGAACCACAAUCCAGAAAUGGAGGGCACACAUCUAUAAGAGACUUCUUUGCUUUGUUUAAAGUAGGUACAUCUAAUCUGAACCUUUGAAGGAUGAAGAUGCAUGCCUUUGAUCUGCUCUGAAGCAGGAAGACACACACCUUUAAUCUUGAAUCUUGAGGUGGGAAGACAUGCCUUUCUGCUAGGCCAUAACUUCUGCUGGAAGUCUCUAUAAGGACAUAGGACAAGGGCGUUUUUGAUGUUUGUCUGUUUGCCCUUACCCUUUUAGCACUUCCAUUCCUUCACUGACAUUGGAGCCUACUUCUUCGGAAUUCCAGCAUAUACAGAAGACCAGAUGAGACAUCCAGCCUUGUGGACUGAACGACUACUAGGUUCUUGGACUUUCCAUUCACGGCUGGCCAUUUGUGGUGGUUUGAAUAUGCUUGGCCCAUGAGAAGGGGCACUAUUAGGAGGUGUGGUCUUAUUGGAGGAAGUGUAUCAUUGUGUGGGCAGGCUUUGAGGUCUCCUAGUGUUCAAGCUUCACUCAGUGCAGAAGAGAGCCUCCUCCUGGCUGCCUGAGGAAGAGAGCCUCCUUCGGAUCAAGAUGUAGAACUCUUUGCUUCCCCAGCCCCAUGUCUGCCUGCACACUGCUAUGCUUCCCACCUUGAUGAUAAUGGAUGAGACCUCUGAAACUGUAAGCCCUUCCUAAUUAAAUGUUUGCCUUUGUCACAGGAUAGGGUGGUGCCCAAGGGAGGCUUCUCCUUCCCUGAGGAAAAGGGGGAGGGGUAAUGGGGGGAGGAAUUUGCAAGGGCAGGCCUGGGAGGAGAAGAGGUAGGGGUGCUGUGAUUGGGAUGUAAGGUGAAUUAAAAAAUUGUGA
This 1739-nucleotide long non-coding RNA is filed under the name Mus musculus (house mouse). RNAcentral's name for it is "predicted gene, 47518". The record is from RNAcentral. Lineage: Eukaryota; Metazoa; Chordata; Mammalia; Rodentia; Muridae.